Molecule: non-coding RNA, 1486 nt
Organism: Cinara cedri
Lineage: Eukaryota; Metazoa; Arthropoda; Insecta; Hemiptera; Aphididae
Source: the annotation of a GenBank genome assembly
GAUAUUUUCUUGAAAUUAUAAACAAGACUUAUGAUAGUACUAUAAAAUCGAAAAUAAUGAACUUUUACAGUCGAAAAUUUGUCUGCUUUUUUCCUAAAUUGUUUUUUUAAAUUUUUCCAGAUUAUUAUGAAAACUACACCACAAAUUACAAAAUGAAUCAAAAAUCAACCAACUAGAUUCAAUAUACUAUAAAAAGCUCUUUGUCGUUUUAAUUGGUUUGUUGGAAAUAUUUAUUAUAAAAAAAUUAUUAACAGACAGAACAAAUAAAAAAUUAAAAAACACACAUACUAAAAAUCACUGCAUUUCUCAGAAUCUAAAAAGCUAGUAGAUGUAUUGCAGGUGUUUUGUACAUUAUCGCUACGGUGAAGCGUAAAAGAUACUUCUUAUGAAAAUUAAAUCACUGUUAUUGGUGAGAAAUUUGGAAGGUUGGAUAAACAAGAGAACUUAAUUUAAUUUAAUUUAUUGAGUUAAGUCCGGUUUUUUUUUUUUUUUUUGAUAAACUUAAAAUUAAAAUCGUAAUAAUUUAUAAUUGUGAAAUAAAUCAAAUACUAUUAUUCAUGAUUUUCGUAUUAGAUUGCUAAACAUUUUUAAAGAGUCUUAAGAGUUUUAGCCACAUGAAUCGGAAAAAUAUUACGUGAAAUACUGUGAUUUUUAAAAUUUUCAUUAAAAUUUGAAAUUUAAACACUGAUUGUUCAUUUGAUUUUCCGAGCAGUUUUUAAAUAAAUUGGGAAAAACAAACUGGGUUUUAUUUUGCUUUUAUUAGGUAGGUUAUAUAAAUAAACUGUAUAGAUAAAAUUGUUUGACUAACUAGAAAUGAUUGCCAAUUUAACAAGAAGUUCAUUACAAGUUAUAAUUAGUUAUGAAAAAAAAAAGUUGAGGUUAAUGUAGUAAUAUUUCUUUAUUGGCGUUUAAAGAUCAAAUUAUGACGAAAAUCGUUAAAAUUACGGCAUUUCAAAAUAAAUAUUUAUGACCAAACACAGCUCGGAAUCAUAUUUCACUAGCAAUGGUUAAUCGUUUCUUACAGAUGUAAUUUCAAUAACCUUAUGUACCUUACAAACUUUUCACUUAUAAGAGUAGCACACCCGUCCUCAGUAUCAGUUGUUUUUUUUUUUUGUAGAUAAAAUUGUUUGGCCGAUCAGAAAUAUUCAAAAAUUGUACACGAUGUUCAUGAUAAAUUAUACACAGUGGUAAACAACAAAAUUAUACUUAAUAUGUAGUUGUUUUUUAAGCAUUUUAAAUUCAAUCACAGAGAUGGAAAUCGUAUAAAAUAUCGCAUUGCAAAACUUCGCUCAGAAUAGUGUUUCGUCAACAAUGAUUGUAAAUUAAAUAAUUUAAUGUACUUAUCCUAUAAUCUUAGCUUCCCAAUUACAACAGUGGCACACUCAUCAAUAGUAUCACCUCUUUUUUAAAACUUUGAUACGACAAAUUAUGCCGAAAAUUAAUUUAUACAAAUUGAUUUUAAACGAUUUUACCUCAUAUAAUUACA